Molecule: ribosomal RNA, 497 nt
Filed under: uncultured bacterium
Lineage: Bacteria
Description: partial 16S ribosomal RNA
Rfam family: Bacterial small subunit ribosomal RNA
Source: RNAcentral
ACUCAAAUGAAUUGACGGGGGCCCGCACAAGCGGUGGAGCAUGUGGUUUAAUUCGACGCAACGCGCAGAACCUUACCAGCCCUUGACAUGGUGGUUAAAGCGGUCGAGAGGCCGUGUCCCGCAAGGGGGCCAUCACAGGUGCUGCAUGGCUGUCGUCAGCUCGUGUCGUGAGAUGUUGGGUUAAGUCCCGCAACGAGCGCAACCCUUACCUCUAGUUGCCAGCGGGUUGGGCCGGGCACUCUAGAGGGACUGCCGGUGACAAGCCGGAGGAAGGUGGGGAUGACGUCAAGUCCUCAUGGCCCUUACGGGCUGGGCUACACACGUGCUACAAUGGUGGUGACAGUGGGCAGCGAGGGGGCGACCUCUAGCUAAUCUCCAAAAGCCACCUCAGUUCGGAUUGCAGGCUGCAACUCGCCUGCAUGAAGGUGGAAUCGCUAGUAAUCGCGGAUCAGCACGCCGCGGUGAAUACGUUCCCGGGCCUUGCACACACCGCCCGU